ACUUAACCUGUGUCUAAAGCACUGCUGGCCGCCGAUUCUACGCCGCCCGGUCGCCAGGGAGAGUGAAUACAGCUAGGGACGUGAAAGAACGGGGAAGAUAACCGAAGGGUGGUUUGAGAAACCCACCAGGCCAACUGGGAAUUAGAAUUGAUUCAAAACUCCAUUGAUCGCCUGACCUCCAUAAGCUCCUACUCUGCUGCAGUUGAGUGCUGCCACUUAAAUCCUGCAGUCCCGAGAUCCGGUUAUAACCAAUGCAUUUAGAUUUUUCAUUUCGGUGGCAACAAUCUUCAUUGUAAGUUCUGUCCUACAGAGAAGUGUGGUGAUCAAGCUCUUUGGAGAUACUGGGACUCCUCUCACAAAUGUAUGUCUCACAGUUAUGAUGAAUGGUGUAUCUCCUGGAUCUUCCUCAGUUGAGUAUGUUUUAAAGGAAAAAUACACUUUAUCAUUCA
RNAcentral lists this long non-coding RNA (449 nucleotides) under Homo sapiens (human). Its description in RNAcentral is "HSALNT0396514". The record is from RNAcentral. Lineage: Eukaryota; Metazoa; Chordata; Mammalia; Primates; Hominidae.